This 253-nucleotide ribosomal RNA is filed under the name uncultured bacterium. RNAcentral describes it as "partial 16S ribosomal RNA". It matches the Rfam family "Bacterial small subunit ribosomal RNA", at positions 524 to 776 of the family's 1533-position model. The record is from RNAcentral.
UACGUAGGGGGCUAGCGUUGUCCGGAAUCAUUGGGCGUAAAGCGCGUGUAGGCGGUCCGGUAAGUCCGCUGUGAAAGUCGGGGGCUCAACCCUCGAAUGCCGGUGGAUACUGUCGGGCUAGAGUGCGAAAGAGGCGAGUGGAAUUCCUGGUGUAGCGGUGAAAUGCGCAGAUAUCGGGAGGAACACCUAUGGCGAAGGCAGCUCGCUGGGACGUUACUGACGCUGAGACGCGAAAGCGUGGGGAGCAAACAGG